RNAcentral lists this transfer RNA (73 nucleotides) under Mustela putorius furo (domestic ferret). It matches the Rfam family "tRNA". From Rfam's summary of the family: Transfer RNA (tRNA) molecules are approximately 80 nucleotides in length. Their secondary structure includes four short double-helical elements and three loops (D, anti-codon, and T loops). The record is from Rfam by way of RNAcentral. Lineage: Eukaryota; Metazoa; Chordata; Mammalia; Carnivora; Mustelidae.
ACCUGACUGGCUCAGUUGGUACAGCAUGGGACUCUUGAUCUUGCGGUUGUGAGUUUAAGCCACACGUUGGGUG